ACGCAGGGAAAGGGUUUCUUGGAGUGCUUACGUGUAAGCACUGAGUCACCUCUGGCAUUAUUUGUUUUAGAACACUUUGAGGCAAGUUACAGAGUUAUUUUGAAAGUAGACAGGCUUAAGACUAAAAUAGAUCUCCUUUCAGCACAAAACCCGCUGCAGUUUUGCUUGCAGACCCGCGCAGACCUUCCUGAAGUGGCAUUUACGCAGCUGGAUCCUGACUCGCGUACCAGAUGGUUUCUGGCCACGGUCCAGCCGYGGCAGCACAUACGCCCUUGACAAGCAGAAAGUCCUACCUGGCAGCAUGUGCCCCAUUCCUAGAACAGCUCAUCCCAUCCCAGUCAUCGAGUCACUUAGAAAAAUAUGCGUCUCUGAAAAUAAGUGCUUCAGUUGACACCUUUUAG
Molecule: long non-coding RNA, 401 nt
Filed under: Dromaius novaehollandiae (emu)
Lineage: Eukaryota; Metazoa; Chordata; Aves; Casuariiformes; Dromaiidae
Description: lncRNA (ENSDNVG00000017109.1)
Source: RNAcentral